GUUCUAGGCAGCUGGCUUUGGCAUGCAGUGAGCACGCUCUGAGCCCGCCGAGCUGGGGGAGUGUUCCGGCGGCGUGCAUUUCGUCGCCGAGGGUG
RNAcentral lists this transfer RNA (95 nucleotides) under Mycobacteroides abscessus subsp. abscessus. RNAcentral's name for it is "tRNA-Gln(ctg)". Lineage: Bacteria; Bacillati; Actinomycetota; Actinomycetes; Mycobacteriales; Mycobacteriaceae. The record is from RNAcentral.